This 277-nucleotide ribosomal RNA is filed under the name uncultured prokaryote. RNAcentral describes it as "partial 16S ribosomal RNA". It matches the Rfam family "Bacterial small subunit ribosomal RNA", at positions 524 to 801 of the family's 1533-position model. The record is from RNAcentral.
UACGUAGGGGGCUAGCGUUAUCCGGAAUUACUGGGCGUAAAGGGUGCGUAGGUGGUUUCUUAAGUCAGAGGUGAAAGGCUACGGCUCAACCGUAGUAAGCCUUUGAAACUGGAAAACUUGAGUGCAGGAGAGGAGAGUGGAAUUCCUAGUGUAGCGGUGAAAUGCGUAGAUAUUAGGAGGAACACCAGCUGCGAAGGCGGCUCUCUGGACUGUAACUGACACUGAGGCACGAAAGCGUGGGGGGCAAACAGGAUUAGAUACCCUGGUAGUCCCUGAG